AGCAGCCGCGGUAAUUCCAGCUCCAAUAGCGUAUAUUAAAGUUGUUGCAGUUAAAAAGCUCGUAGUUGAAUUUCGGGGUCAGUAGGCUGGUCGUGCCCCCGGUACGUACUGGUCUCACUGAUUCCUCCUUCCUGAAGAACCGUAAUGCCAUUAAUUUGGUGUUGCGGGGAAACAGGACUGUUACUUUGAAAAAAUUAGAGUGUUUAAAGCAAGCUAACGCUUGAAUACAUUAGCAUGGAAUAAUGAAAUAGGACGAUCGAUCCUAUUUUGUUGGUUUCUAGGAUUGACGUAAUGAUUAAUAGGGAUAGUUGGGGGCAUUAGUAUUCAAUUGUCAGAGGUGAAAUUCUUGGAUUUAUUGAAGACUAACUACUGCGAAAGCAUUUGCCAAGGAUGUUUUCAUUAAUCAAGAACGAAAGUUAGGGGAUCGAAGACGAUCAGAUACCGUCGUAGUCUUAACCAUAAACUAUGCCGACUAGGGAUCGGAUGAUGUUAAUUUUAUAAUGACUCAUUCGGCGCCUUA
This 520-nucleotide ribosomal RNA is filed under the name uncultured Glomus. Its description in RNAcentral is "SSU rRNA". It matches the Rfam family "Eukaryotic small subunit ribosomal RNA", at positions 569 to 1090 of the family's 1831-position model. Lineage: Eukaryota; Fungi; Glomeromycota; Glomeromycetes; Glomerales; Glomeraceae. The record is from RNAcentral.